RNAcentral lists this ribosomal RNA (321 nucleotides) under Triticum aestivum (bread wheat). RNAcentral describes it as "partial small subunit ribosomal RNA". The record is from RNAcentral. Lineage: Eukaryota; Viridiplantae; Streptophyta; Magnoliopsida; Poales; Poaceae.
AUGGAGAUAAGAUCAAGGGAUCCAAGAGCUGAGUUGACUGGUACCUACCGGUGGCCCCUCAAUUAUAUGGUGUGUGCCCCCCUGUGCGGUUGUUGGAGAGAAGGAAUCCAAGAGCUACUGAUAAGUGUACCUACCGGCCAAAUUGAAAACCAGAAAUCGCACAGCCAGGAAGGAAUUUCUGUGUGGAAUGUAUCACCUAUGUUAUUGCAAGAAAAUUCUGAAGAGGCGCUCCUGCAUCAAUUCUUUUUCCUGAAGCAGAGGCCCAAGCAAAAACUCAGUUCUCGCCAAACAAAUAUCGGUUUUAUCAAUGGCUGCGGUUGA